Molecule: long non-coding RNA, 1059 nt
Filed under: Homo sapiens (human)
Lineage: Eukaryota; Metazoa; Chordata; Mammalia; Primates; Hominidae
Description: HSALNT0329056
Source: RNAcentral
AGCACACACUCACUUUAUCUGACUCGUGUCGCUUGGAAGGGCAAGAGUGCUUCAGACACAGAGACACAGAGGGAAGACUAUGUGAAGACGCAGGGAGAAGACAGCCAUCUACGAGCCAAGGAAAGAGGGCUCAGAAGAAAUCAACCCUGAUGACAUCUUGAUUUUGGACUUCUAGUCUUCAGAACUGAAUACUGUAAGAUGACGCCUUGGGAGCAGAUGGAGAAUGUCUUUGUCUGCAACACUGAAGCCACAGAGCAGUAAGCCAACACUAACACUGGGGACAACCAUCCACAUCUGUGUCACUCCCACAGAUGCUGAGAAGACAACUCCCAAUAUGGGGCAAAUGCAUGGACUUGGGAAAUGUCCUUUCUUGUGGGAGAAGAAAAAGAGAAAGUACACUUCUGACACAUUCAGCAAACAGGGAGUUAAGCAUACUGGGCCGCCUUCCCUAAUGUGUGUGUAGUGACACAGUCAAGGAGGUCACCAUGGAUACAUCUGGCUGCAUCUGCCUGAGUUAUUUGUAUUGAACAGAUUGCUACAGGGUGUUUUUUUUCUGGUCCCAUUAUGUGCAUGUAAUGCCAAUUAAAUAACAGAAAUGAAAAUUAAAAAAGAAAAUAUCUGCCCCUGCUGGGUUUAAUCUCAUUAGCGCAAAGUCAAAUGAUUAGUCCCAAAAAAAAAGGCUCCAACAGGCAGCAAAGACAGCAGUAAAGCUGCAAGUAUCUUUUGCAUCACACCGAGAAAAUGAAUCAGAAUUGCUCACUCAGUUGAAGACACCAGAGCCUUUCCUAUCAUAAGACCAUGUUAUGGCUUGAGGACUAUUGAGUUGGGUCUCUACCUGAAUGAACAACAGGGAGACUACCAUAGCACAUCCCAAACUUCAAAUUAAUAAUAAAAAAAAUUGCUACGUCAGCCAUUUUAAGGACAGGUGUCGUGUUUCCUUGGGUGGAUUGUAAAACUUGGCAGAUGUUUACUUUAUAGUGCUCUAAGACUAACAUAAUCUUUAAGCAUCAGAUUAUUUUUCAGAUUAAUCAAACCUUCCAGCUAUAAUGUUGCCACCAG